AUUGAACGCUGGCGGCAGGCCUAACACAUGCAAGUCGAACGAGUGGCGGACGGGUGAGUAAUGUCUGGGAAACUGCCUGAUGGAGGGGGAUAACUACUGGAAACGGUAGCUAAUACCGCAUACCAUCGGAUGUGCCCAGAUGGGCUUAGCUAGUUGGUGGGGUAAAGGCGCACGUAGGCGACGAUCCCUAGCUGGUCUGAGAGGAUGACGGGCCACACGGGAACGUGGACACGGUCCAGACUACUACGGGAGGCAGCAGUGGGGAAUAUUGCACAAUGGGCGCAAGCCGGAUGCAGCCAUGCCGCGUGUAUGAAGAAGGCCUUCGGGGUGUAAAGUACGUUCAGCGGGGAGGCGUUACCCGAAGAAGAAGCACCGGCUAACUCCGUGCCAGCAGCCGCGGUAAUUC
RNAcentral lists this ribosomal RNA (406 nucleotides) under uncultured bacterium. RNAcentral describes it as "partial 16S ribosomal RNA". It matches the Rfam family "Bacterial small subunit ribosomal RNA", at positions 29 to 526 of the family's 1533-position model. The record is from RNAcentral.